Molecule: long non-coding RNA, 799 nt
Filed under: Pongo abelii (Sumatran orangutan)
Lineage: Eukaryota; Metazoa; Chordata; Mammalia; Primates; Hominidae
Description: lncRNA (ENSPPYG00000040038.1)
Source: RNAcentral
AUAUUGCAGUUAUCCAUAAAUGGAAAGGCAAGAAGCCACCAAUACCUGUUUGAGAAGAUGGCAUUUUAAUUAGCACACUCCAGCUGCCAUAAACCCGGGCUCCUGCCCCACCUCUCUCCCCCACGCCCCCUCCUCCCCCUCCCCCGCCGUGCCCUCUCUCAACCUCCCUGCUCACCCCCAUCUAUGUAAAAAAGCCAUAAAGCCUCUCUCCAAUCGCUUUCUCGGAGGAAGUUUUUGCAACCCCCACAACACAGGUUGAUUGGAAAGGUCUCUCUCCUGGAUAACAACAAUUCAAUGUGCCUUGACAUUUUAAUAGCUUGCCGUCCUGGUGAACACAAUCGAGCAAGGCAGUGAAGCAAAAAUCAUUAGGUGGCUGGACUCAGACACAUCACGCUCCAGUUUGGGUUCCAAGGUGCUUCUCUCUGGAUUUUCACCUGCCUUGCCAAAAAUGAUUGAUUACGCUGGGCCAACUGGGUGUCCGGCAAUACCCAACAAAUGACUUUGGCCCCUAACAGCAGGCCUUGGCCAGAUAGAAAUCAAUAUUUCACCAUUAAAAUCUAUCAAAGAAGAGUUAAGGCACCAUCUGUCCCUGCCGCCUCUCUAUGAGCCACAGAAGAACAGAGUAUCAAGAAAGGGAUCAGAGCAUUUCACCUCUUCUGGUCCACAUGCUCUUUGGCCAGCAAGGAUUUGGGAACCAUGCUGAAAUCAACCACCCAAUGAUGAGGAAGGAUUUCAGUGAAUCUCCUGAAAGAGAUCUAGAGAAAAUUUUUUCUACCCAGUGUUGUCAGUGCAAAUUCAG